GAACAGCGCUGCAAGAUGCAGCUCUCGAAAAGUGCCAUCACAAGAGCCAAGUUUGUUGCAGAUGAUAAUCUGAAGCAAAACAUCACCUAUACUGCACGUGUGAGGCAGCCACAUAAUCAUCAGUAUGUAAUGAAAAAAGAUAGAAGUUCCAGGUGUUCA
Molecule: long non-coding RNA, 159 nt
Organism: Schistocerca nitens (vagrant locust)
Lineage: Eukaryota; Metazoa; Arthropoda; Insecta; Orthoptera; Acrididae
Exons: 3
Source: RefSeq, a predicted model, not a curated record